RNAcentral lists this ribosomal RNA (695 nucleotides) under uncultured Staphylococcus sp. Its description in RNAcentral is "bacterial SSU rRNA". It matches the Rfam family "Bacterial small subunit ribosomal RNA", at positions 61 to 738 of the family's 1533-position model. The record is from RNAcentral. Lineage: Bacteria; Bacillati; Bacillota; Bacilli; Caryophanales; Staphylococcaceae.
GUCGAGCGAACGGACGAGAAGCUUGCUUCUCUGAUGUUAGCGGCGGACGGGUGAGUAACACGUGGAUAACCUACCUAUAAGACUGGGAUAACUUCGGGAAACCGGAGCUAAUACCGGAUAAUAUUUUGAACCGCAUGGUUCAAAAGUGAAAGACGGUCUUGCUGUCACUUAUAGAUGGAUCCGCGCUGCAUUAGCUAGUUGGUAAGGUAACGGCUUACCAAGGCAACGAUGCAUAGCCGACCUGAGAGGGUGAUCGGCCACACUGGAACUGAGACACGGUCCAGACUCCUACGGGAGGCAGCAGUAGGGAAUCUUCCGCAAUGGGCGAAAGCCUGACGGAGCAACGCCGCGUGAGUGAUGAAGGUCUUCGGAUCGUAAAACUCUGUUAUUAGGGAAGAACAUAUGUGUAAGUGACUGUGCACAUCUUGACGGUACCUAAUCAGAAAGCCACGGCUAACUACGUGCCAGCAGCCGCGGUAAUACGUAGGUGGCAAGCGUUAUCCGGAAUUAUUGGGCGUAAAGCGCGCGUAGGCGGUUUUUUAAGUCUGAUGUGAAAGCCCACGGCUCAACCGUGGAGGGUCAUUGGAAACUGGAAAACUUGAGUGCAGAAGAGGAAAGUGGAAUUCCAUGUGUAGCGGUGAAAUGCGCAGAGAUAUGGAGGUACACCAGUGGCGAAGGCGACUUUCUGGUCUGUA